Molecule: non-coding RNA, 1654 nt
Organism: Salmo salar (Atlantic salmon)
Lineage: Eukaryota; Metazoa; Chordata; Actinopteri; Salmoniformes; Salmonidae
Source: Rfam
UAUAACAAUGUAGAUAAGGGAAGUUGGAAAAAAAGAGCCGUAACCUCAGGAUAAGGAUUGGCUCUAAGGGCUGAGUUGGUCGGGCUGGGGUGCGAAGCGGGGCUGGGCUCGAACUGCGGCUGGGGGAGCAGUUGCUCUGUCGCCCUCCUCUCGCCACCAUUGGAAGUUCGUUGUGCGGUCUCUCGUGCGUGGUCUCGCAAGGGGCUGCGUGUGGGGGUUCGUCGGGGUCGUGUCUGUCAGCGGGCCGAAGGCGGACCGGUGGGGGGUUGGGUCCGGCAGUUGGCAGUUGCAACUCUGGACGCUCGCCGGGCCCUUCUCACAGAUCUCCCCAGCUACGGCGCUCGCCGGCCCCACACAUUGUAGGUGGGGAGGUCUCCUCUACGCUCACUAGACUAAACCCAUUGGCCCCGCAGUGAUAGGGCAUUGCAUGGAUCUGGCUCAUUGCCUAUGAAGUGGGGAGAGGUAUCUCCAGCUUGUCUGGGGAGGAAGGCCUACAUUUGAUCUGGGUAGUACUAUCCACGCCCAUUGAUUUGCUGUGGAACCAUAAAACGGACAGAAGAAGCCUAGGUUCCCACUGGGAACGUAUCACUGAAUGUCAACUUGAUGGAAUUCAAAAGGAGCGUACCCACCUGUCGCCGUCGCACUCAAAUCACCCGUGGGGUGACUGUGACCCCCUCAUGUCAAAGUGAGGAAAUUGGAUGAAGCGGGGGUAAACGGCGGGACAUAAUUUAGAGUCUUUUGAGGUAGCCAAAUGCCUCGUGAUCUAAUUAGUGACGCGCGUGAAUGGAUGAAUGAGAUUCCCACUGUCCCUCCCUACUAUCUAGAAAAACCCCAGCCAAGGGAACGGGCUUGAUGGAAUCAGUGGGGAAAGAAGAACUACUCUUAUCGUUUUUCGAGCCAGGUGCGACCCACUCCGCUUAGGGAGGACAGAAACUUCCCGUGGAGCAGAAGUGCAAAAGUUGGCUUGUUCUUGAUUUUCAGGAUGAAUACAGACUGUGAAAGCGGGGCCUCACGAUCCUUCUGAAUUUUUGGCUUUUAAGCAAGAGGUGUCAGAAAAGUUAUCACAAUGAUAACUGGCUUGUGGCUGCCAAGCGUUCAUAGCGACGUCACUUUUUGAUCCUUCGAUGUUGGCUCUUCCUAUCAUUGUGAAGCAGAAUUCACCAAGCGUUGGAUUGUUCACAAACGAAUAGGGAACGUGAGCUGGGUUUAGACCGUUGUUAGACAGGCUAGUUUUACCCUACUGAUAAUGUGUUGCUGCAAUAGUAAUCCUGCUCAGUACGAGAAGAACUGCAGGUUCAGACAUUUGGUGUAUUUGCUUGGCUGGAGCCAAUGGUGCGAAGCUACCAUCUGUGGGAUUAUGACUGAACGCGUCUAAGUCAGAAUCCCCCCUAAACGUAAUGAUACCGUAGCGCAGCAGAUCUUCGGUUGGCCCGGGAUAGCCUGCCUCUUUUGGAUGGUGAGUAGAGCAGUUUGUGACGAGGUUAGGGUGUGGCCGGAUGAGUUGCCGCCCCUCUCCUGAUGCACACUGCAUGUUUGUGGGUAACCUGGUGCUAAAUCACUCGUAGACAACCUGAUUCUGUGUCAGGGUUUCAUACGUAGCAGAGCAGCUCACCCGCUACGAUCUAUUGAAAGUAAGCCCUCGAUCCAAGCUUUU